Molecule: ribosomal RNA, 501 nt
Filed under: uncultured bacterium
Lineage: Bacteria
Description: partial 16S ribosomal RNA
Rfam family: Bacterial small subunit ribosomal RNA
Source: RNAcentral
AUUGAACGCUGGCGGCAGGCUUAACACAUGCAAGUCGAGCGGGGGAAGGUAGCUUGCUACCGGACCUAGCGGCGGACGGGUGAGUAAUGCUUAGGAAUCUGCCUAUUAGUGGGGGACAACAUCUCGAAAGGGAUGCUAAUACCGCAUACGUCCUACGGGAGAAAGCAGGGGAUCUUUGGACCUUGCGCUAAUAGAUGAGCCUAAGUCGGAUUAGCUAGUUGGUGGGGUAAAGGCCUACCAAGGCGACGAUCUGUAGCGGGUCUGAGAGGAUGAUCCGCCACACUGGGACUGGGACACGGCCCAGAAUCCUACGGGAGGCAGCAGUGGGGAAUAUUGGACAAUGGGGGGAACCCUGAUCCAGCCAUGCCGCGUGUGUGAAGAAGGCCUUAUGGUUGUAAAGCACUUUAAGCGAGGAGGAGGCUACUUUAGUUAAUACCUAGAGAUAGUGGACGUUACUCGCAGAAUAAGCACCGGCUAACUCUGUGCCAGCCGCCGCAGUAA